RNAcentral lists this ribosomal RNA (459 nucleotides) under uncultured bacterium. RNAcentral's name for it is "partial 16S ribosomal RNA". It matches the Rfam family "Bacterial small subunit ribosomal RNA", at positions 28 to 523 of the family's 1533-position model. The record is from RNAcentral.
GAUGAACGCUGGCGGCAUGCCUAAUACAUGCAGGUCGUGCGAGAAACUACUUUCGGGUAGUGGAAAGCGGCGGACGGGUGAGUAACGCGUAGAAACAUACCCCAAGGUGAGGGAUAAGCAUCGGAAACGGUGUCUAAUACCGCAUACUGUCUACGGACAAAAGAUUUAUCGCCAUGGGAAUGGUCUGCGUCUGAUUAGCUAGUUGGUAGGGUAAAGGCCUACCAAGGCGAUGAUCAGUAGCUGGUUUGAGAGGAUGAUCAACCACACUGGAACUGAGACACGGUCCAGACUCCUACGGGAGGCAGCAGUAGGGAAUUUUCCACAAUGGGCGAACGCCUGAUGGAGCAAUGCCGCGUGCGGGAUGAAUGCCUUCGGGUUGUAAACUGCUUUUAUGUGCGAAGAAUUUGACUGUAACACAUGAAUAAGGAUCGGCUAACUACGUGCCAGCAGCCGCGGUAA